AGUUGGGGGAUAUGAUUCAAUACAUAAUGCAACUCCGUUGAUGAGUAUUUAACAGUGUGUCGUGCAUUCUCAUGAGGUCCUCAUUCAACAUAAAACAGCUGAGUGGAAGCCUUUUUCUUUUCGAAAAGGAGUUGAGUGGAAGCUGCAUAGCAGCUGAGUGGAAGCUGCUUCUGAAUGACUGUUUUUCAGUGUCUGUCGCUAUCUCUUUGUAGGUAGUGUUGGGCUGCCUUUUUUUUCAGUCUCGCCAUCUCUUCCUCCUUUUCUUUCUCACGAGUCAUGACUUAUUUUUUUUAAGCAAGUGAAGGGUGAAGGCUACAACUUAUAUCUACCAAUUCUCCUCCAGCUACAACUUAUGCAGUGGAUGAACUUGAGUUAAACAUUGCCACAGACUUCUCAUUUGAUGUUGCGUACAUAGAAAAAAAAGGAUUAACUGUCAGGGAAAAUUUCAUGCUGGAAUUCCAUUGAUGAUAAAAAGAUAAAGGUUUCUAUGUUCAGUUUUGGUUAAUACAAUCGUGGAUUCUAAGUCUUGUUGGAAGCCAUGUGUCUGAGUAAAAAAUGAGGUAGUGGCUGCAAUCUGUGGAAUUCAAAGCAUGUACAACCAAGCAGCAUCAUGAGCACACUGACUGAAGAAAAGGUCGAAGCUCAAGUGGGUUGAUUCGGUUCUACUACUAGUGCUUUCGGUAAACAUCCAACACAAUGGCUCGCUGAUAACUUUGAAAAUGACACUUUGGUCUGUUAAAGAUCAUAUAUAUAAUAUGUAUACUCCACAAAACCAACUAUUUAAUCACAAAUCUUUAGGUGUCUGGGGAUCUUCAUGGCUGCAUUAAUUCCAAGUCCCAAUGGCGCAGUAUCCCCCCGGGAUCUUAACUGAGUUGUUAUGAUAUGCUUUAUCGUUUUAGUUUGACAAGCAAAGUGUUUUGCAUCUGCUCUAAUUGAUCAACGACUCUUUGAAUUGGUGUGUAAGUCUUGUCGAAGACCCUGCGGUUCCUUUCACGCCAAAAUUGACGAAAUCACCAGAACUACCAUGGAGUUUAGGGUUUUCUUUUUUGGUUCCUUGCAAUGCAGCCUGAACCAGCUGCUUCCGCCAUACCUGCGCUUCUUCCUGCCCAUUUAUUUACAACAGCCAAUGAUUUUCUUAUGGUUCUCUCGCCGCUGAGUUUUUUCUGGUUUUUGCGUGCGGGACCAGAAGGGUGUCGAAAUGGUUCCUGUAGUAUUUAUUAUCAUAGUAGUAGAAGAGAUGUGGACUACCCAACGUAAAUGAACCUCUCUGAAGAGUGAAAACUGGUGUUUCUAAUAAAGGAAACUUGGGAAUCCAAAUGAAUACAGUGUGUGGCCUGUGAGCAGAUGGGUAUUUCGCCACAACAGCAGAUCUCUCGAAAGCCGAAUGGGUGAGUACCCUGUUAGUUGCGAUGCUUGUGUUGUUGAUGCCUCUAAGGGAAGCAAGUUUCUUCGGGCCCUCUGCGUUUCUGCUAGCUCCGAUUUGUAUGUGGAUCACAAAAUCACAAGAAUCAGGUCAAGACUCUGCUAAAUGGAACACAAAACCAUAAUAAUGCAGCUCAGUUUGCUUUAUUUGUAUUCUUAUCUUUUUUCUUUUACGGGGUAUUUGGAUUCUUAUCUACUCUAACUGAAGUUGAUUCUAUAUCGUCCAGGAUAGGAAAACAGACCCAUCCACCUUAUCUACUGUCGGUUCAGUUGAUUCUUACCUACAGUCACUUAAGUUGAUCCGCAUCAAUGCUAUUUUCGCUUUCCUUCCAUUAACCGUGUGUGUUCCAUAGUUUAUCUCUGAAGAAAUACAACAUGGGUCUAUGAUCGUAUUUUUCUGAAAUACGCGGUGGAACAAAUCACCAUGGCGGUGCACAUUAUUGGUACUAGCAAAGUGCUUUGUGCGUUGGUAUGAAAAAGAAGAAGAUGACAAGACGUUAACUUCUUGCUUCUUCUAUUUCAGUAUUUCCACCUGUUCCUUGACUCAGCCAUCGUUUCCCUUCCCAUUGUUUUGGAAUGAUGGCGAGUGGUAAAAGCAGCUGCUCUUGAUACGGUUGUACGUCCUGUUCUUAGCAUGUCUGUGAUUGCAAUAGCCGAGGACUUAUUCCUAGAAAGCAAUACCCACGGCGCAUGCCUGCUCAUAUAUUUCCCAAUUCUCCAUCAGCAACUCAUGCACUGAAUGGACUUGAGUUAACGACUCAUGACUGGUGGCGCAACGCGACUACAAAUUGCGGCAAAAUUCCGUGCUUCAAUUCUAUCCACCAGCUGUGGUAGAAAUAAAGGUUUCACUGUUGAAUUCUAUUUAAUACAAAUCCUGGACCGAAAGUCUUGCUGGAAGUCAUGUGUCCGAGGGAAUAUGAGGCCAUGGCUGCAACUUCUGGAACUCAAAGCAUGUGCAGCCAAGCAGCAUCUUGACCACACAAACUGAAGAAAAAUACAAACUCAAGUGGGUUACCAGCGCUUUCUAUACAUCUACCAGGCCGCGUACUGUCUAACAUCCGACACGCCAAAAUUUUCUUCUUCAGUGUCACCAUCUAUCCUCUAUUUUCUCCUUUGGAAAAAAUGACAGAUUA
Molecule: long non-coding RNA, 2555 nt
Organism: Triticum aestivum (bread wheat)
Lineage: Eukaryota; Viridiplantae; Streptophyta; Magnoliopsida; Poales; Poaceae
Exons: 3
Source: RefSeq, a predicted model, not a curated record